GGCUGGUCCAAGGGUAGCGGAGUUCACAAUUAAUUGAUCACAGUGAGUUAUAGAUUCUUUGCUCCUUCUCCAUUCCCACUGCUUCACUUAACUAGCCUUAA
Molecule: Y RNA, 101 nt
Filed under: Suricata suricatta (meerkat)
Lineage: Eukaryota; Metazoa; Chordata; Mammalia; Carnivora; Herpestidae
Description: Y RNA (ENSSSUG00005008158.1)
Rfam family: Y RNA
About the family: Y RNAs are components of the Ro ribonucleoprotein particle (Ro RNP), in association with Ro60 and La proteins. The Y RNAs and Ro60 and La proteins are well conserved, but the function of the Ro RNP is not known.
Source: Rfam by way of RNAcentral